This 377-nucleotide long non-coding RNA is filed under the name Mytilus galloprovincialis (Mediterranean mussel). The record is from RNAcentral. Lineage: Eukaryota; Metazoa; Mollusca; Bivalvia; Mytilida; Mytilidae.
GGGCCGUAACUAGGGUUCGAAUUCAGGGGAGGCAGGGUUUGGGGGCCGCCAAUGGAGGUCCCCAAGAGAGAGGGGGUUGGGGGGCGACCCCCCCUCCAUUUUUUUUCUCCAAGUAAAAUGGCUAAAAAUGACCCGUUUUCCUUCGAUUUCCUUACUCUAAAAAACAUCAGUAUUACUUGAACCUGGAAACAAUUUUUAUGCAAAAAAAACUGAGAUUGCUGUUCGGUGUAAGCCAAGGCUCCGUCUUGAAGGCCGUACUUUGACCUAUAAUUAUUAACAUUAAAUACAUUGUGACCGCGGAUUUUGUUCUCAAUAUGGCUAAAAAUCACCCGUUUUCCUUUGAUUUCCUUACUUUAAAAAACAUCAGUAAUUGCUGG